Molecule: long non-coding RNA, 4272 nt
Filed under: Glycine max (soybean)
Lineage: Eukaryota; Viridiplantae; Streptophyta; Magnoliopsida; Fabales; Fabaceae
Description: long non-coding RNA (GMAX_LNC002371)
Source: RNAcentral
ACUGCAAUUUCAGAGUAAUAUAAGUAUAAUUAGAUCCAUUCACAAAGCUAAACAAUUUCAGGUACAUAUAAAUACGUCUGAACAAAGUUUGAUGUUUGUGUGUAAAGGAAAAAAAAAUAUUUACUUUGCUUUGAUGUUGUGGUUGAAUAUUGACAUUGAGUGGCAGGACCAGGUAAGUAUCUGUUAACUGACUUUUGAAGCUGAUCAUAUGUUGCUGAGAUUACUGGAGUUCCAACAAUUUGAAGAAGUGAAGUCUGCAUGAUUGAUGAUUAAUAAGGAUUCUGAUCAAGAAGAAUGGUCUGAAAUACUAGGUUGUUAAGGAAGUUAUGCUAACUUGGGUUGAUGAGUUCCUUGUAUUGCAAAGAGGUAUUUAAAGGGCUGAAAACUAGGAAGUGAAUCCCUUUUUUUUUUUUAUCCGCAGCAGAAGUGAAUCUUGAUACUUUGGUGGGAUGACUCAACCUUAGAUCAUCAACCACGUUCGUGGUUGAUAUAAAGGCACUGUCAUGGCAAUUUGACGGAAAGUUAUUCAAGAUAAUAUUUUGACGUCAUGGAUGGAUUGCAUGUUUGGCUGCUUUUAGAAGAAAAGAUGGUACACAAAUAUUAAACUUUUUCAAAACUUAAAAUUUCUGGAAAGGUUGAUUAGUUUAAGAGGCUUAGAGAGAGAGGUUUACAUAUCUUCAGGAGCAAGGUUCCACAGUGGUUGAUCGAAGUAAUUAAGGAAAUAAAUGCGUUGUUGCUGACAGCAUAUUGCCAUUUGUCACAAACCAUCGGAGAACUGCACGGUUUUUGAAACAUGCAGGUAAGGAAAUUAAAGCAGAAAAAGUUGAAUGAUGAAAUACACCGACCGACUAGUUGCAAUACUUUUCGGUUACACCUACUUACGUGAGGAUGCAUCAGCAAGGCUUUAUGAGCUGACAUUUAAUUUGAUCUUUCUGAUGCCAGAUUUCUCCAAAUUCUCUUGUGAUAAGGUAGGAAAAAGUAAAGAAUUUGCAAUUGACAGACUGCUUAACAUAAAAAAUCAUUUUAUUUUAUUUUUGCUUUUUCUAAAACGGUUGAAGAUUGAAUGAGGAUACUGAAUUUAUGAAAGUUCAAUGCUAAAAUAUUGUUAAGACCUUACGAAAGUUAAAGUUGGUAUGUGUCAAUAUACAUAUAUUAACUUAGGAUCUUGUUGAAUAGUACUUUUAAGGUAUUGGUUAAAGAAUUAAAAAAAAUUAUUAAUUGUGAUAAUUUUAUAUAUUUUAAUAAAAAAUAUUUUUCCUUUUAAUUUUUUAAUCAAUUUUCUAAAGAUACUAGUUAGUACUUACGAUUAACAUAUACACUCUUCAAGAUUAGGCAUUAUUAGGCUUGCUGACAGGACAUAUGCCUACAUGCUGAUGUGGGAAACAGCACAAUAUCUUGCUUUUCUCAAGGAAAAUUAAAGGGCACCAUUCCCUGAAUAUAGAUAUGCCUUUAUCUUGUUUUCGAGUGAUUGACUCAUCAUUGAAGAAAUUGAUAUCAGCUACAUCUAAAAGACUAAAACCAUGCAUACAUAGUAUUCAUGCUCUCUUGGGGUUUGAAACUAAACUAAAAACUCUGGCAGUUAAGGCAUCGGUGCUUUUUGUUGGGUCAAACUAUAUCCCUAAAGAGAGGUUGCUGACAGGGCUAUGAUGGGAAGGGAUAAUUAAGAGAAUGAAGGCAAAGCUGUGGAACGUGAAAUUGUUUAUAUAUGUGAAUUGGAAAGUGAUCUGUGGCCGCAUGUUGGUUUUGAAAGUCAUGUGCUAGCGGAAGAGAAGAGUGUUGGACAUACUUAAGUUUCCUUGAAAAGCAAAUUGCCAUGUGGUCUCAUAUGUAAAGCUGAUAUGUAGUAGAAGUUCCUUCUUCAGCUCUUUCUGUUUGAGUUUUUUUUUAUUUUUUAUCCAUAGGAGUAAAUUAUAAACACUUAUAACAAUUCACGCAUCUUAUUAGCCAACUAAACUCGAUCCCUUUAUUCUAUUUGAGUUUUGAAAGGGUCAAUAAUGCUACCGUUGCUACAGGUGUCCUUACUAGAGAGGAAUUAACUUUCUGGUGCUCUAUCAUCUUUUUCAGCUUCUCAAACAUUUGUCACAAGAGAGAUAGCCACUUAUUUGCAACAACACAUCUUGAAUUUUUUUAGUAGAGUUUUUAUGGAAAGUUUCUAUAGAGUUAACUAAUAACUAAGUCAUUAUUAAUAAAAGUUCUUGUCAGAGGCUUAAGAACUAACAAAACUAAAAAUAUGAGAUCCCUGAAAUUGUAGAAUUUCAGAGAACAAAAGAGAGCUGCAAAAACGAGAGACAAAAAAUAAGUUCAAAUUCAAAAUUAAAUUAAAUGUCUAAAAAUAAUUAUAGGAAUAAAAUAAAAUUCCAUUAAAGCUACUUCAAGUAAUUUUAUGCACACAAGCUAAGUGUCUUUAAAUAUAUUUAACAAAUAACAAGUUUAAACAAAAGACAAUAUAUAAAAACUUAAAAGUAAGUAUAAUCAAAUGAUGUGGGACUUAAACCUAUUGUAUUAGUCUCAUCCACACCACAGUUGGAAGAUAUGGUAACUAUAGUUUCUGAUUGUCGUUUCACCAAUUCCACAAAAGGAAAGGAGAUGAAAUUGUGAAAGAAAGUCCAGGCGUUAUUGCCACAAUUCAGUCACAAAACAAGAUCCUAUGUGAAUCAUCUGGGCAAUCCAAACUUAUCAGUUUUCUGAUACAGUCCCACAACUAGAGCAAUCCUAAUUUAUAAGAUGGAUCCAGUGAGACGAACAACUUCCUGCUAAUUAAUUAAACUACUUACAUAAAACAGACUCGCAUUUAAGUUAUUAUACUCAAAUUUGACUAAAAGUUAGAUGGCAUAAAUACAAAUUGAAUUACAUUACUUCAAUGUGUAAUUGAGCCUCAAACUUGUUGUAUAUUGAGGAAGCUAACAGUAUUGUUCCCUCUUUCUAAGUAUUUUUCCAUCAAUCUUUUCUCCUACAAUAAUCUCCCUUCGUAGAGCUCUAACAUAAGCCUGUCCCUUCCUCAAAAGCAGUCCUCAGCACUGCCAGCCGAGGCCACAGAACACAUAUAGCUUGGAUUCUGCAACAAUUGAUGCUCCAAAUGGUGAAUUCUUGCAUUCACAACGCAAUUUUCUGCCAGCCAACUCUGCAACUCUUCUGAUAUGAACCACAUCCAUUCGUUAUUAUCACAGGUCAAAUGUCAUGUCCAGAAGGAUGGAUAUGUGCAAAGAACUUAAAUCCCUUUUAUCAUAGACAAAGCUCAACAUUUUCAAUGACAGCAGCCAAAAUUUUAGUUUGUUACGGAUCAUCCUUUAUAUGUUUGUGUUUGUCCUGACAACAUGAAUCUUCAAGUUUGAAUGGUGGAUUUUGCAACCCAGCUAAGCUUGAGAAACUGCCUGCUCAAGAUAUUUGAAAGUUUUCUGAUAUUUUAAGACCCCCAUAAACCAGAAAUCGAAGUUGUCCUCCGUGACAAUUUCUAUGUACUUCUGUGUUGGCUUUUGAACAUUUUGGCUUUGGUUCACACACUUGAUCUUGUUCAGUGGAAUGGCAACCUGCACAUGACCAUAUAUACUUCAGAACUUCAACAAUCUUGGAUAAAGAGAAACUGAGAAAUAUGAAUACAGGCUAGGAUAAAGUUUUCCAUGAACACUCAAAGGAGAAGAAAAUAGGAGGUAAAAAUGAAUAAAACUUUUGCAAGUUAAAAUCAUCUUAUGCAUUUUAUCUUUGAAGAAGUUAGAUAAGAGAGUUUGAAAAAAGUUUAUUUUAACUUGUGAGAGAAGUUUGAUUUAUUUUACUUUCUUAUCUUGUUCUCCUAUAAGUUCUUGUUAAGUUCACCCAAAUUUGGCCUGUGUAGAUAUAUUAUUUAAUGACUAACCUUAUAACGGAUCCUCAACAUAUGGCCUUUUCAAGUAAAGACUUUCAUUGAUCUCUCGCUGCAGAAGGCAACCUUGUCAGUGGAGAUGAAGAGGAAACCUGCUAGAGGACCGGGUCCGGAUGUAGUGGACAGAUAACACUGGGAAACUUUCAGCAGCCUCUCUCCUUCUUCAACUUUAAAGAAUGCGAGCCCCUAAGCUUAACUUUCUCUUAACAGUUUCUGAUAUAUUUGUCCUCAAUCUCACUGCAAUUAUAGAGUGGUAUAAAUUGAAUUAGAUCCGCUCACCAAGCUAAACAAUUUCAGGUGUGUGUAACAAAAAAGAAUUUUACUUUGCUUUGAUGUUGUGGUUGAAUAUUGACAUUGAGUGGCAGGACCAGGUAAGUAUCUGUUAACUGACUUCUGAGGCCGAUCAUAUGUUGCUG